GCGGGGGUCGCCAAGCCUGGCCAACGGCGCAGGGCUUAGGACCCUGUCCCUUAGGGGUUCGUGGGUUCAAAUCCCACCCCCCGCA
This 85-nucleotide transfer RNA is filed under the name Nitrososphaerota archaeon. RNAcentral's name for it is "Thaumarchaeota archaeon tRNA-Leu". It matches the Rfam family "tRNA". Rfam says of the family: Transfer RNA (tRNA) molecules are approximately 80 nucleotides in length. Lineage: Archaea; Thermoproteati; Nitrososphaerota. The record is from RNAcentral.